CCUACGGGAGGCAGCAGUGGGGAAUAUUGGGCAAUGGGCGCAAGCCUGACCCAGCAAUGCCGCGUGAAGGAAGAAGGCUUUCGGGUUGUAAACUUCUUUGACAGGGGAAGAGCAGAAGACGGUACCCUGAAAACAAGCCACGGCUAACUACGUGCCAGGAGCCGCGGUAAUACGGAGGUGGCAAGCGUUGUCCGGAUUUACUGGGGGUAAAGGGCGGGUAGCCGGGAAGGCAAGUCCGAUGUGAAAUCCGGGGGCUCAACCUCCGAAUUGCAUUUGAAACUGUUUUUCUUGAGUACUGGAGAGGCAGACGGAAUUCCUGGUGUAGCGGUGAAAUGCGUAGAUAUAAGGAGGAACACCAGUGGCGAAGGCGGUCUGCUGGACAGCAACUGACGGUGAGGCGCGAAAGCGUGGGGAGCAAACAGGAUUAGAUACCCCAGUAGUC
RNAcentral lists this ribosomal RNA (442 nucleotides) under uncultured bacterium. RNAcentral describes it as "partial 16S ribosomal RNA". It matches the Rfam family "Bacterial small subunit ribosomal RNA", at positions 338 to 795 of the family's 1533-position model. The record is from RNAcentral.